RNAcentral lists this ribosomal RNA (326 nucleotides) under uncultured eukaryote. RNAcentral's name for it is "partial 18S ribosomal RNA". It matches the Rfam family "Eukaryotic small subunit ribosomal RNA", at positions 1470 to 1796 of the family's 1831-position model. The record is from RNAcentral.
CCCUUAGAUGUCCUGGGCCGCACGCGUGCUACACUGAACGGAUCAGCGCGUUUUCCCUUCCCGAGAGGGACGGGUAACCUGCUGAACCCCGUUCGUGGUAGGGAUCGGGGCUUGCAAUUAUUCCCCGUGAACCAGGAAUGCCCAGUAAGUGCAAGUCAUAAGCUUGCGUUGAUUACGUCCCUGCCCUUUGUACACACCGCCCGUCGCUACUACCGAUUGAACGUUUUAGUGAGGUACUCGGACUGAGCCUCAGAAGAUUCACGUCUUUUGUGCUGCUCGGGAAGAUUCCCAAACUUGAGCGUUUAGAGGAAGUAAAAGUCGUAACA